RNAcentral lists this transfer RNA (64 nucleotides) under Heptageniidae sp. YW03BF02. RNAcentral's name for it is "tRNA-Asn". Lineage: Eukaryota; Metazoa; Arthropoda; Insecta; Ephemeroptera; Heptageniidae. The record is from RNAcentral.
UUAAGAGAAGCCAAAGAGAGGCUUGUCACUGUUAAUGACAGAAUUGGGGGAUACCCUUCUUGAA